GGACUGCGUGGUUUGGGGACGCCCAGUCUCAGCCAGGGCCCUGGGCCUAGAGCCCACACUGGUCCCUGGGGGUCCUCCAGCUCCCCCCACCGAGAUGCUCCCACUGCCUCUUCUCUCCCAGGCAGAGCUGACGGAGGUGAAGGCCGAGGGAGACGCGGCCCGGAAGGAGCUCCACCAGGUCUGUAACCCCCGUGAAAACACCGCUUAGGUGGGCAGAGCUGCUGGGUGUGGUGCCAGCCCCCAAGGACGCCUGUGUCCCUGCCUCCCUGGCCCCGGCUGGCCUCGCAGCGCCCUGCAGACUGACUGGGCAUCGCCAGUCCCACCUGGGCUCUUUGCAACGUGGCCCGGUUGCUUUGCAGGAGAAGCAGUCAGCAGCCAAGCUGGCAGAGGCCCUGCGGGAGCAGGCUGAGAUCGAGAAGGUGCUGAGGAAAGAACGCGAGUGCCUCCGGGAGAGACGCGAGGGCCUCCAAGGGCAGACAGUGGGGGGGAAGACGGAGCAGGCGGCCAGGCUGUCCACGUCACUUAUGCGGGAGAUGGUGGCUGUGAAGCUGGUAGGACGGACAAGCCCGACGUGGGCCUUGGGGAAGAAAGGGUGUGCAGG
Dromaius novaehollandiae (emu) is the source of this 601-nucleotide long non-coding RNA. RefSeq lists it as uncharacterized. Lineage: Eukaryota; Metazoa; Chordata; Aves; Casuariiformes; Dromaiidae. The record is from RefSeq and is a predicted model, not a curated record. The transcript is spliced from 3 exons.